CAUCAUCACUGGAAUCAGGUAAGUUUAAAAAAAAAAAGUUAUUAACCAUUUGCAUGGGGGCACCGCAGAUGUGUGUAUAUAUACACAAAACUGCAUUCUAACACCAGUGUUUCUUUGAGAGCAUGCCUUUGUUAAAGUAGGCAUAAACACUCCACUGUCUAGUAGAUAUACCCCAACUGAAAACAUGCAUGUAUUUAAUAUGCUUUUUAUUCAUUGGGGGCAUAUCUAAAAAAGUUGCACAUCUCCUGCCUAAAGCCUUUAAGCCCUCUCCAAACUCAGCUCCAGACUUUCUACGGCUAUUCAAUUACAGAUUUCCCAAUGCAACUCAAUUAGAAGUUUUCAAAGAAGGCACUCUGAGCAAUUGCCUGCCUCUUGAAUUUAGCUGCACUGAGCUGAACUACCAGGAAGUAACCGUACAGCCGGUCUGAAUAGCAGCCAUGGGUGUGUAACAUUGUUCAUUUAUAAAAAGUGCCAAUUUCUAUUAAAAUCUGCAAUGAGGUGGACAUACGCUUCACACAUACAGCACUUCAGCUUGCUUUAGGGGUCCGGAGUAUCCCUUUAAUGAUCAAUUAGCAUGUCCC
Non-coding RNA from Pelobates cultripes (western spadefoot toad), 581 nucleotides. NCBI's taxonomy places the organism in Eukaryota, Metazoa, Chordata, Amphibia, Anura, Pelobatidae. The record is from the annotation of a GenBank genome assembly.